AAGUCGUAACAAGGUUUCCGUAGGUGAACCUGCGGAAGGAUCAUUUCCAAAAAAAAAAGAAUUUGAAAACAAUUAUAUACACCGUCGUUGGUGUGUGAAGUGUGUGGUGGUAUCCAAAACAUUUUAAUUUACUCUCUCUGACAACAUGGUCAUCGCGUAUGCCAAGUUUGGAAGAGAGAGGCCUUGAUGAACCACAUCCGCAAAUGUAUUGGCGUUUGUUUGUCUAAACAAACAACACUAUACAUCAUCGGACGUUAACAUUAUACUGUCUCGAUAUAUUUCUACUCGGAUUUGCACUUGUUGCCCUAAGGCACCAGGUCAAAACCAACAACACAAAAGUACCAAUAUACAGACAACUUUUAACGGUGGAUCUCUUGGCUCGU
RNAcentral lists this unclassified non-coding RNA (383 nucleotides) under fungal sp. RNAcentral describes it as "partial internal transcribed spacer region". The stretch from base 1 to 46 matches the Rfam family "Eukaryotic small subunit ribosomal RNA", at positions 1786 to 1831 of the family's 1831-position model. The record is from RNAcentral. Lineage: Eukaryota; Fungi.